This is a small nucleolar RNA of Medicago truncatula (barrel medic), 98 nucleotides long. The record is from Rfam. NCBI's taxonomy places the organism in Eukaryota, Viridiplantae, Streptophyta, Magnoliopsida, Fabales, Fabaceae.
UUGGAGGCAACGAUGUUGAAAGUUGUCUAUUUUAUGAGUGGAUAGAAAAUUUCCCUUGUGAUUUUCAAAACUACCAAUGGAUGCUUCUUUGCCUUCUA